CUGCUGCCUUCCGUAGGAGUCUGGGCCGUGUCUCAGUCCCAAUGUGGCCGGCCAACCUCUCAGUCCGGCUACUGAUCGUCGCCUUGGUGGGCCGUUACCCCGCCAACCAGCUAAUCAGACGCGAGUCCAUCUCAGAGCGAUAAAUCUUUGAUGUCCAGUGCCAUGCGACACAGACAUAUUAUGCGGUAUUAGCAGCUGUUUCCAACUGUUAUUCCCCACUCCAAGGCAGGUUACU
Molecule: ribosomal RNA, 235 nt
Filed under: uncultured bacterium
Lineage: Bacteria
Description: partial 16S ribosomal RNA
Source: RNAcentral